AAAAAGUGAAAAUUUUUUCUGAAGGUGUUUUGUCUCGACUGGCCACGGCGAUCUCUCCAUGCCACAAAACGAGGGCUCAGCAGUGUAGUUUUUAUUACUACACUUCCCAGGUUCCUUUGAGUUUGGAUCUUGCGCAAGAUGUUUUCAACGGCCUCUGGUGUCAUUCGAUUGUCUUGUCAUCGCAUAUGACUCAAAUGAAAAGGUUUUAACUCCGAACUCCGGAUGAGGUCACUGAGUGUACCCCUCUCUGCCAUGAAAGCAUAUCAAGUCAACAGCUCUCCGUUCUUCUACAGUUGAUGGGUCUACUGCUGGGACAACGAUGACAGACAGUGUCAGGACGUUUCUGCACAACGUUGCUACGUCAAAAUCAAAAAGGAAUGGCCCAGCUGGUAAGUUAUCCUCUUGUCUGUUGUGGAGUCUCUGUGGCAAGGUGAAUGAGGAUGAUACGGGCUGGUGGCGUGGUGUGGCGUGGCUGGAGGUCUUGGCGUUGAGAUGACUUGAGAGAUCAGUAGCAUGAGAUGAACCCAGGUUGGCACUUGGUGGAUGAGGUUUGUCCUACAGACAAGAAUGAUAACUUGAUUACCGUAAUUUCCGGACUAUAAGUCGGUACUUUUUUCCUGCGCUCACAGCCCUGCGACUUAUUCAGUGACGCGGCUAAUUUAUGGAUUUAAUUGGCGGCGCCAUGAAUGUACUUUCGGUCCCAGAGCAUGGGUUGAAUGCUUUAUCCAACUCCAAGCAUCCAGUCAUUUGUAUUUCAACACACCUCUUAGCAGCCAAACAGCAUGGACCUGACUUCAGGUCUUAGACACUUCAGUCAUGGUUCAACAAAAAGAAACAUGCAUGCCCAGAACCCUUUGUUGCUAUUAAACUCAACGUGCACGUGAUCGCCACUACAAUAUGAUGCAGCUUUCAAGUUAAAAGCAAUCGUUAAAAGAAGCGUGAAAAAAUCCACCAUCACGGGUUUGGAAAAGCCGGUCAACUGCGUGACGGAGAGAACAGCGCAUGCUCAGGAGUGAAUU
This 1019-nucleotide long non-coding RNA is filed under the name Oryzias sinensis (Chinese medaka). RNAcentral's name for it is "lncRNA (ENSOSIG00000017169.1)". Lineage: Eukaryota; Metazoa; Chordata; Actinopteri; Beloniformes; Adrianichthyidae. The record is from RNAcentral.